RNAcentral lists this unclassified non-coding RNA (287 nucleotides) under Leptolyngbya sp. WJT66-NPBG8. Its description in RNAcentral is "16S-23S ribosomal RNA intergenic spacer". Lineage: Bacteria; Bacillati; Cyanobacteriota; Cyanophyceae; Leptolyngbyales; Leptolyngbyaceae. The record is from RNAcentral.
UAAAGGGAGACCUACCCCUUCGUGUUUGAGCGAUGUCUCAAGCAGAAGUUGGUCAUCUCAAGGUCGGUGAGAGUUGGAUGCUUGGCUUUCAAACUUGUCUAGUUCAUCAAUACAUAAGACACAACACAACAACUCAUCUAAACAUCUAGUUAAUCUAGUGAUAUGGAGAGCCUGCUGGAUUGUGAAUCCAGUGCGAGAACCAAGAAAACUGCAUAGUGAAGUUGUCAGGUAGAAAUACACAGACACCAAUGUAAAUGAACUAAGACUGAUUGAGCAAUCAAUCAAGU